Molecule: ribosomal RNA, 257 nt
Filed under: uncultured bacterium
Lineage: Bacteria
Description: partial 16S ribosomal RNA
Rfam family: Bacterial small subunit ribosomal RNA
Source: RNAcentral
CGGCGGACGGGUGAGUAACGCGUGGGCAACCUGCCUUACACAGGGGGAUAACAGUUAGAAAUGACUGCUAAUACCGCAUAAGACCGCAGUACCGCAUGGUACAGCGGUAAAAACUCCGGUGGUGUAAGAUGGGCCCGCGUCUGAUUAGGUAGUUGGCGGGGUAACGGCCCACCAAGCCGACAUCAGUAGCCGACCUGAGAGGGUGACCGACCACAUUGGGACUGAGACACGGCCCAAACUCCUACGGAAGGCAGCAG